This 492-nucleotide ribosomal RNA is filed under the name uncultured bacterium. Its description in RNAcentral is "partial 16S ribosomal RNA". It matches the Rfam family "Bacterial small subunit ribosomal RNA", at positions 29 to 507 of the family's 1533-position model. The record is from RNAcentral.
AGUGAACGCUGGCGGUAGGCCUAACACAUGCAAGUCGAACGGCAGCACAGUAAGAGCUUGCUCUUACGGGUGGCGAGUGGCGGACGGGUGAGGAAUACAUCGGAAUCUACUUUUUCGUGGGGGAUAACGUAGGGAAACUUACGCUAAUACCGCAUACGACCUACGGGUGAAAGCAUGGGAUCUUUGGACCUUGCGCGAUUGAAUGAGCCGAUGUCGGAUUAGCUAGUUGGCGGGGUAAAGGCCCAGCAAGGCGACGAUCCGUAGCUGGUCUGAGAGACUGGUAGCCCGCAUGAGAGCUGAGACGCGGUCCAGACUCCUGCGAGAGGCAGCAGUCGGGAAUAGUGGACAACGGGCGGAAGCCUGAUCCAGCCGGAGCGAGUGGGUGAAAGAGGCCUUCCGGUUGUAAAGCCCUUUUGUUGGGAAAGAACAGCUGCAGGUUGAUACCCCGCGGUUCUGACGGUACCCAGUGAAUAAGCACCGGCUAACUACGUG